RNAcentral lists this long non-coding RNA (1005 nucleotides) under Equus caballus (horse). RNAcentral's name for it is "lncRNA (ENSECAG00000055540.1)". The record is from RNAcentral. Lineage: Eukaryota; Metazoa; Chordata; Mammalia; Perissodactyla; Equidae.
GACACCACCACCCUAAACCAGUUACAUGAGAUUGCCAGACAGCAACCAACUUAAGUUCUUGCCUCUGGCAUUGACCAAGAGCCUCUAGAGAUAAGACCAUCCCCCCCUCUUCCUGGCACAGAGAGGGAGGCAUCUUCACAGAUAGAGGUUUCCCUUAGAAAUGUAAAUGUUUCCCAACAAAGGGGCAAACAAAUUCCACUCCUUGGAGCCUGAAUCUCAUCUGUAGUUUUAAAACUAACCAGCCUAAAAAUCCUCAUCAUAAGCCAUUUUAAAAUUAAGCAGCCUAAAAAUCCUCAUCAUAAACCCCCCGUGAACCCAUUUUGGCCCCGAAAUCUUUUGGGGAUAUGGACGAUGGUCAGUCUUCUGUAACUACUUCCGGCUGUACAAGGUCGUAGAGCUGUCCCUAAAUGGGGCCAUGGACCGGAAGGCUGCACCCGUGGCGUCCAAGGCUGACAAGGUGUACAGAUCCUCUGGCGAUGAGAGAAUCAUUUGAUGAGAGGUGGUCCAGGAGGUGAAACUUUGUUGACAUGUGGAAGACAAACAACGAAAUAGACAACAAAUUAUAAUAAGAAAUACAAGCAAGAUGAUUAACCCAAUGAAUAAGAUUUUGAUAGUAGUCCAGAAACCUGGACCUGACCAAGAGUUCAACCAAUCAUUUAGAGAUAGGGUAGGGUCAGACAUGGACUUAACUUGGUGGCUUAUAUCAGAUAGGAAGCCAGAGAUAUUUUGAUGGUAGUCAGGAAUAUAAACACAACAUUCAGUUUUUAUAAUGGCACAAGUACCCCCUUGCGCUGCUGUCAAGACAUCCAGUGCCAUUCGGUUUUGGAGGACUGCCUUACUCAUUUGGGACACUUCUAAAUCAAGCAGCGAAAGGCUAUGUUGUGUAUCAUUUAAUGCUUUCAUAGUAAAUUUGUUUAGAGCUUCCAUGUGCCAGAUGACACUUUCGAUUCCUAAUUGGGGAAGGAAAAUUGAGGCAACGUGGUCAUACCAGUGGAAGACAGAGCG